AAUCAAUAAUAAUAUUAUUUAUUAGUAAAGAAUACAAAAAUAACUUCUUAUUCCUCACUAACACCUAAAAUAAAUAAUUCGGUAUAUAAAUUCUGUAAAAUCUCUUUCUCUCUGUUAUACAUGAACAGUAUAAAUCAACAAACAAAUCAAUACUUUCCACAUGGAAUCAAGGAAAAUUCAGAAUCAUCAGAUUAAUUCAGUGCUUGAAGAUGGCGAGCAUUGAAAGAACAACCGAAGCUCCAAUCACGGCCAUGGAGCUGGAAACGGAUCCGGCAGCUCCGGCGUCGGGUCCUGGUGCGGGUGCCGGCGACAGAUCUUGAGCGGAGGCGACGGCAAAGAAAAGAGCCACGACGAGCACGACGGCGAAGGAGAAUGUCUGAGAUGCCAUGGCUAGAGAGAGUUUGGAGAGAGAAAGAGAAUAGAAUUCAAAGGUGUAAUGAGGCUCUGUUUUAUUUUGUGAUAUCAGAUCGGAGAAGGUGGUGGUAUUUAUAGUGGGUGUGGAAAGGCGCGUGGGGCCCACGGAACGUGGACAGCUGUGCGGUGUGAUGUAUUGAGGUGUGAAUGAAUGGAAGUGAGUUGUGAGAAAGUUGUUUUUGCUUUUGUGUGUUUGGUUGGUUAAACGACAUUGUCGCUUAUUCUGUCGGUUUCAACAUUUAUCGUGGAACCCGUCAUCUACGCUGUUGUGUACUUUUUUUUCGAGACUCAGACUAACGUUGUUUAGUACCGUUGGAUAUAUUUCUUUUAAAUAAAAUUACUUAAUUUUCUUUUUAUUUUUAAUUUGGUUUAAUGAUUAUCUCUAUUUUCGGUGACUUUUAAUUAGGUUCCUCAUUUUUUCUUUUUCUCAAUUGGUCCCUAUUUUUGAAAAAUUGAAACAAUUAGGUCACUGUCAUUAGUUCCGCUCUAAUACCGUUAAAAAGGGUGACACGUGUCAGCUCAUGAUUUUUUUGAAUUUUUUAAAUAUAUUUUUUAAUUAUUUUUAUUUUUAUUUUUUAUUUUUAUUCUUUUAAAAAUAAAAUUUGCCACGUGUCAAGUUGAUAUUGUGCCACGUAGUAGUGACAGUGUGAGGUGGCACUGAUAGUGCCACGUGUCACUGAUAGUGCCACGUGUCACUGACAGUGACACGUGUCAUUGCGUUUGUUUCAAUUUGGUUCUUGUAUUUUUAUUUUGUUCCAAUUUGGUCCUUGUAUUUUUAUUUUGUCUCAAUUUAGUCCUAAUUUUUUUAAAAAUUUAAAAAAGAUUUGUUCGUUCCCAAAUAAAAUACGGUAUGUACAUUUUCCAAAUUUUUGUCUUUAAAUUUAUUUUUGUUAAGCAAAUUAUUAGUAAUGAUGUAUUUCAAAUCAAAAUAUUUAACUCUAGAAACUUUUUAUGAAUUAAGUAUUGAGACCAUGCUUGUGUAGAUUACAUUCACAAAAAUAUUUAUUAUUGAGAUGUUAACUUUUAUAGGUUACUCAUUCAUAUUAUUUAGGUUAAAUGAUUUCUUUAUUACUAUAUAAAUAAAAAUGUGUCAUAUGUUAGUUUGUAAAUUUUUUUAUUUUUCUAAUAAAAAAAUUAAUUUGUACAAAUUUCUUUGUAAAAAUUUAUAUACAAAUAAAAAUAAAAUUUUGUUUGAACUUGGAGAGAAACAAAAUUGUUUAGUUUUUUUAAAAAAAAAGGACUAAAUUAAGACAAAAUAAGAAUAUAGGGACCAAAUUGAGACAAAUUAAAAAUAUAGGGACCAAAUUAAGACAAAUCUAAUGACACGUGGUCUAAUAGUGACACGUGGCACUAUCAGUGCCACCUCACAUUGUCAUUGUCACGUGGUUCAAUGUCAACUUGACACGUGGCAUUUUUUUUAAAUAAAUAAAAAAAUUAAAAAUAAAAAUAAAAAUAAUUAAAAAUAUAUUCAAAAAAUUCACGAGCUGACACAUGUCACCCUUUUUAACGGUGUUAGUACGGAACUAACGACAAUGACCUAAUUGCUUCAAUUUUUCACAAAUAGGGACCCAAUUGAGAAAAGAAAAAUGAGGGACCUAAUUAAAAAAAUCACCGAAAAUAGGGACUAUGAGGAUGACUAAACCUUUUAAUUUUUCAAAGUACGAGGUGAUAAAAGAAAAAUAGUAAAACUAAAGAAAAAGAAUAAAAAAAAUAGGUUUAAACUUCUUUUUGGUCCCUAAGUUAUGAGCAGAUGUUCAGUUUAGUCCUCGCUUUUAAAAGUGUAAAUCUUUGGUUCCUAAGUUAUAAAAAAUGUAUCAAAUAAGUCCUUUUAGCAGUUGUUAAGAAACAAUCAAAAACAGUAUUUCAAGUAAAAAAAGGACUCAUUUGAUACAUUUUUUAUAACUUAGGGACCAAAUAUUUACAUUUUUAAAAACGAGGACUAAACUGAACAUCCGCUUAUAACUUAGGGACGAAAAAGAUGUUUAAACCAAAAAAAUAUCAUCCAUUAAAACAUUCAACGUUUUAAAAUAGGUUUCUUGUAAUGGGAGAAAUGGCUUUCCAUCCUUGCUUGACCUUUUCAGUUAAUUAGUCAAGUUAACGUUUUACUAAUUUAUUACAAACAAAAUUGAAAGAAAUAAAAUAGAAAUACAGAUUGCUUAUUGUUGAAGAAAAAAAUAAUUCACAAAAGAAAUAAAAAUUAAAUUGAUUAAUUAAAAAAAAUUAAUAGGUGAUAAAUAAAUUAAAAAUAAAAAUGUUUUGACAAAAUACGGAUAUGUUAAAUGGUCAUUACACAAAAUUAGGAGUAACGAUCGAAAUCAUGCUGAGUCCAUAGUCAAUGUCACUUAUGACAUUAGGAUUAUUUCAACUUAGUUAGGUAUAGUUUUUCAUUGAAAAAAUUAUUCGACCUGAAACGCGGUUUUGUUUAGGUUAAAUUUAACCUAAAAUUAAAACAGUUUUGCUUUAUAUUUUGUUUUGAAUUGCUAUUUGUGAUUUUUUUUAUCAUAAAAAUGUUAGAAAUUUAUUAAAAGAAUGCUAGAUAUUUUUAUUAGUAAAUAAAGAUUAAUUUUGUUUUAUUAGUAAUUAAGCGUCAGUUUAGUUUUUAAUUUGGCAUUUAAAUAUUAUGGUCAAAUAUUGAUCUAUUAUUUAGGGAUAUAGUGGAGAGUCUGUUUGAAAAACUGUCCACGUGCAUAGUCAGUUUUUCUUUUGUUAUAGAGUUGUUUCUUUGCUACUGUAAGGCUAUAAAGCCUAUCAUCUGUUAUUUGAAUUAAUAAGAGAGUGUUUUUCCACCCAAAAGCAGAGAGUUCUUUACGUGUUUACAAUUGGUAUCAGAGCUCCUUCAUAGGGGCCUGAACCAGAAAGUUACGUGUGAGAGAAACUGAAACACCUAGAGAGAGAACACUGAGUUGUGAGUGUUAAAAGAAAUCAACUUAGAGAUGGCUGAAACAGUGAAGUAUGUUCAACCAGCUAUUCCAAAAUUUGAUGGCCAUUAUGAACAUUGGGCCAAGUUGAUGGAAAAUUUCUUACGUUCCAAUGAAUAUUGGGACUUAGUGGAAAAAGGUAUUGAUGUGGUACCAGACACAGAAGAAGCCUCAGAAUAUGAUAUCAAAAAAAUGGAAGUACAGCAGCUCAAGGACUUAAAGAUCAAAAAUUAUCUCUAUCAAGCAAUUGAUAGGGAAAUUUUGGACACCAUCUUAAAUGACGAAACAUCCAAGGAUAUAUGGGAUUCCAUGAAGCAAAAAUUUCAGGGGUCAACAAGGGUGAAAAGAGCUCAACUACAAGCUCUACGCAAGGAUUUUGAGACUUUGNAGAUGAAGGAAGGAGAAUCAGUAAACUCCUAUUUUGCANGGACCUUAAAAAUUGCAAAAAGCAUGAAGGCAUGUGGAGAAAGUAUGCGGGAGAAUAUUAUUGCUGCAAAAAUUUUACGGUCCAUGCUUCCGAAAUUUAAUUAUGUUGUGUGCUCGAUUGAAGAAUCAAAUAACUUGGACACUAUGACGAUCGAUGAACUNCAGAGCAGCCUUUUAGUUCAUGAGCAAAGGAUGAUGGGUCAUGACGAAGCAGACCAGGCACUGCAAAUUAUCCAUGAAGACAGGAGAGGAAGAGGUCAGGGAAGAGGAAGAGCAAGAGGACGAGUUUUUUUUCGUGGCAGAGGAAGAGGAAAACAGUCCUUCAACAAAGCUGAAAUUGAAUGUUUCAAAUGUCACAAAUUUGGACAUUUUCAAUAUGAAUGUCCUGCCUGGGAGAAAAAUUUAAAUUAUGCAGAGGUGGAAGAAAAAGNCGUCCAGGAGGAUGAACUCNUGCUAAUGACUUAUUUUGAGUUGAAGCAAGGAACAACAGAGGAAUGGUUUCUUGACUCUGGGUGCAGUAACCAUAUGAGUGGUAACAAAGAGUGGUUUUCAGAAUUAGAUGAGAACUUUAGACAUGCAGUAAAACUUGGCAAUGACACAAGAAUAGNUGUAAUGGGGAAAGGAAGUGUUCGGUUGAAUGUUAAUGGAGCCAUACAUGUAAUCUCACAUGUGUACUACGUUCCAGAAUUGAAGAACAAUUUAUUAAGCAUAGGACAACUCCAAGAAAAAGGCUUGUCCAUAAAGAUUCAGAAUGGGAAGUGUAAAGUCUCUCAUCCUGAGAGAGGACAGAUUAUGGAAAUAGAUAUGAAGGAAAAUAGAAUGUUUAUUNUGAAAGCUACCAAGGCACCUUUAAAUUCAACAUGUUUCCAGAUAGAACUGGAGGAAGGGACACAACUUUGGCACAACCGAUUUGGUCACUUAAGUUAUAGUGGUCUGAAAACACUUUUCUCCAAACAAAUGGUGAAUGGACUGCCUGCUNUCACAGUUCCAAGAGAGCUUUGUACACACUGUUUGGCUGGGAAGCAGCACCGAAAUCCUAUGCCCAAGAAAANUCUAUGGAGAGCAUAAAAAAGGCUUCAACUUGUGCAUUCAGAUUUAUGUGGACCUAUCAAUCCAAUAUCAAACAGCAACAAAAGGUAUAUUCUGAGUUUUAUAGAUGAUUUCUCCCGAAAAAUUUGGCUUUAUUUCUUGAAUGAAAAAUCAGAAACCUUUUUACACUUUAAAAGAUUCAAGGUGCUGGUUGAAAAAGAAGNUGGUGUAAGCAUUGGAUGUUUAAGGACAGAUAGAGGAGGAGAAUUCACUUCAAAUGAAUUUGGUGAUUUUUGUAAAAGCCACGNCAUACGUAGGCAGUUAACUGCAGCCUACACACCUCAGCAAAAUGGAGUUGCUGAAAGGAGGAACAUAACAAUUAUGAACAUGGUGCGAUCUAUGCUGAUUGGAAAACAAGUUCCCAAAAUAUUUUGGGCUGAAGCUGCUAGGUGGUGUGCUCAUAUUCUCAACAGAAGUCCUACAACAAUAGUGAAAGACAAAACUCCUGAAGAAGUAUGGAGUUGAGUGAAGCCUACUGUUGAUUACUUUCGAGUAUUUGGAUGUUUGGCUCAUGUGCAUAUAGCAGAUCANCAUCGAGUGAAAUUAGAUGAUAAAAGCAAGAAAUGUGUUUUAUUAGGAGUAAGUGAUGAAUCCAAGGCAUNUCGGUUGUUUGAUCCUGUCAACAAAAGAAUUUUAAUUAGCAGAGAUGUGGUUUUUGAGGAGCAAAAAGGUUGGGAUUGGAAGCAGAAUGCAGAAGAAUGUCAACAUGAUAUUUUAGAAUGUAGAGGUAAUGAAGAAUAUGUGAGUGACUCUAAAGAGCUNUUUGAAGAAAACAAUGUGGAAAAUACUNGUGCUCAAGAAAUCACAGAUCAAACUGANGAUGNUGAGAACAAUUNUGCAAGUCAAACUGAAGAUGCUGAAAACANAAACAGUUCUGCAGGUACUGAUAUUUAUCCUAAUAAUUCUCAUAUUAUUAAUUAUGAGACUUCAGUUGCAGGGAGGGCUAGAAGGAAUAGGAGUGAACCAGUUUGGAUGAAAGAUUANGAAACAGGAGAAGGUCUUUUAGAUGAUAAUGACCUAAAUGUAAUGGUGGUCACCGAAGAUGACCCAAUCUCCUUUGAGGAAGCCAUUAAGAGUGAGAAUUGGAGAAAUGCUAUGGUGAAAGAAAUGGAAUCAAUAGAGAAAAACAUGACUUGGGAGCUGACUGACCUGCCAAUAGGAGUAAAGCCAAUUGGAGUCAAAUGGAUCUUUAAAANCAAGUUUAAAGAAACUGGAGAGAUAGACAAGUUCAAAGCCAGGCUAGUAGCUAAAGGGUAUNUUCAACAAUAUGGAGUGGAUUACACCGAGGUAUUUGCUCCCGUGGCCAGACUUGACACAAUUCGUUUAAUUCUUGCUGUAGCAGCCCAAUAUAGCUGGAAUGUGUUUCAGCUAGAUGUGAAGAGUGCAUUUCUUCACGGUGAACUUAAGGAGGAGAUAUAUGUACAACAACCAGAUGGAUUUGUGAAAANAGGUGAAGAAGAGAAGGUGUACAAAUUAAGAAAGGCACUUUAUGGCCUUAAACAAGCACCGAGAGCUUGGUACAACAAGAUAGAGGCUUAUUUUGUUCGAAAUGAAUUUGAUAGAUGUCUUUGUGAACAUACACUGUUUACAAAAUCAAAGGAGGGAGGUAAAAUUCUAAUUGUAAGUCUUUAUGUGGAUGAUUUGAUAUAUANAGGAAAUGAUGAGAAUAUGUGUGAUGAGUUUAAAAGAUCCAUGAUGAUAGAAUUUGAUAUGUCAGAUUUAGGAAAAAUGAGGUACUUUCUUGGUAUUGAAGUGAUACAGAAUUCAAGUGGAAUCUUUAUAUGUCAGAAGAAAUAUGCUCAGGAAGUGUUGUCACGUUUUGGCAUGGAAAAUUGUAAUCCAGUUAAGAAUCCAANUGUUCCAGGAACAAGAUUGUCAAAAAAUGAUGCAGGUUCCAAGGUNGAUGCAACUUUGUUCAAACAAGUUGUUGGCAGUCUUAUGUAUUUGACUGCAACUCGGCCAGAUUUAAUGUAUGGAGUAAGCUUGAUCANCAGAUUUAUGUCUAACCCCACUGAAUCUCACUGGUGUGCAGCCAAAAGAAUAUUAAGGUACUUGAAGGGAACAACUGAGCUAGGCAUCCAUUAUAAGAAGGGAGGAAAUACAGAGAUUGUAGCAUACUCCGACAGUGAUUUUGCUGGGGAUAUAGAUGACAGAAGAAGUACUUCAGGAUCUGUAUUUUUAUUUGGCUCUGGAGCAGUCUCAUGGUCCUCAAAGNAACAAUCAAUAGUCACAUUAUCCACCAUAGAAGCAGAAUAUAUAGUUGUUGCCUCUUGUGCUUGUCAAUGCAUUUGGAUUCAAAGGGUGUUGGAGAAGCUGAAUUUUAAAGAACANAAGAACACAUUGAUCCUAUGUGACAACAGUUCCAUGAUACAGUUAUCAAAGAAUCCAGUGUUUCAUGGGAGGAGCAAACACAUAGACAUUAAAUUUCAUUUUUUAAGAGACUUGGUGAAAGAAGGAACUAUCAUGUUAAGUUACUGCCGCUCAGAAGUUCAAGUUGCUGAUAUAAUGACCAAGCCACUCAAGUUAGAGCAAUUUUCAAAGUUGAGGAAGAUGUUAGGCAUGUUGGAAGCUUCAGAAAUAAACUAAAUGCUACUGCNUAUAGUUUAAGGGAGGGAAUAUUAGUAAAUAAAGAUUAAUUUUGUUUUAUUAGUAAUUAAGCGUCAGUUUCAGUUUUUAAUUUGGCAUUUAAAUAUUAUGGUCAAAUAUUGACCUAUUAUUUAGGGAUAUAGUGCAGAGUCUGUUUAGAAAACUGUCCACGUGCAGAGUCAGUUUUUCUUUUGUUAUAGAGUUGUUUCUUUGCUACUGUAAGGCUAUAAAGCCUAUCAUCUGUUAUUUGAAUUAAUAAGAGUGUUUUUCCACCCAAAAGCAGAGAGUUCUUUACGUGUUUACAAUUUUAUGGUAGAUAUUUAUUAAAUAAAAAAUUAUAUAUAUAUAUAUAUAUAUAUAUAUAUAUAUAUAUAUAUAUAUAUAAUCACUCCACUUAAUUAGGUAAUCACAAAUUAAGAGGUAGAAUUAGGAAGACAUGUUGAAAUGUUGAAAAGACAUAUUUAGAGGUUCCAAAUACAUGUUAAAAGAUUAGUAAGAAUUUCACAUGACAUUGUGUAAUUUCAUUAUAUUUUUAGGUCAAAUAAGUGGUCUUUAGCGGUAUUCAAUUUAAUACAAUAUUUUAAAUUGAAUUAAUAUUUUUGGUAAGGUAUUAAACAAAUGGUCCAUAUCAGCAUUGAAUUACAUAAUGUUUUCCUUAUAGCCUUGACAUUGAAUAGAAUAAAAUAUAGCAUAUCAUACAUGUGAUCCUUAACGCAUUCAAUUAAAUACAAUAUUUUUAAUCAUAUAAGUGCACCACAACAAGAAAGUGGUCCACUAUAACUGAGCCCCAUAGUAAUAUGUUUCAUAAGUGGGUGACAACUUUUUCUUUUUUCCAAAUUUAAAUAAAAUAAGCUACAAAAAACAUCUACUGCAUUACCAUAUGAGGUGUACAAAGGCUGUGAUGUUACUAGCUUAAGACCCUAAAACUUGUGUCAUCGUACUUCUUAUGCAUCUUAUUGUUGUUGUUGUCGUUGUUGGUUUGUUACUUAGUACAACCAUAGGUGUAGAUACAUCCACUCCUAGUUGUUGCAGUUGCUACAUCUGACCUAUUGUCAUCCUUAAUCAUUACCCACAUUUGAAGGCAAAUAAUCAUUAAUGUAUUCUACAUUUAUUUCAUGUUCUCAAACUUCUUUAAUAGCACAAAUGACCCUUCACCAACAUUUGUUCUAUUCCUAACUGCUUUUUUUAUUUUAUUUUUAAUCUUUUCCACUUAACCAAUACAGGACGAAUAUUUCCACGAUGUGGAUCAUCUACAACCCUUUCACUGGCCAUCCCAAAGCCAUCAUCAUCAUUUGCAACCCUCUCUUCUUCAUUGUCAUCAAGUUUAUCUACAACUGAUCCUUCUUCUUCCUCAUCCUUAGCAAUGCCACCUUUUUUAGGCCUAUUAACAUUUUCUUCAUGCAAAUUCACCUCUUCUUUAGGCCCAUUAACCUUUUCUUUAGGCCCAUUCACCUUUUCUUUAGACGCAUUCAGUUAUUCUCCAUUCACAUUUAUCUCUACUUCAAGCGCACUCAAUUCUUCUUCAGACACAUUCAACUUUUCAUCCCUAACAUCUUCAUUCACCUCUUCAUCUACAACCUCUUCUUGUCCCGCCUCUUCACCACCACUCCCUCCACUCCAUUAAUAUCAAAGAAAUUAAUUACUUUAGCUUGACUAGAAAAAUGUUGAACACAUAUAUCAAUUUCGUUGUUAUUAACCUCUACUUACUUAAUUGAGUAUAUUGAUUUCGUAGCAUUCCUCAAUAGUCUUAUAUUAUUGUGAAAUGUUUGUUUUGAGCCCUUCCACCAAAGUUUUACAUCACAUAUAUUUUUGAACUCUUUAACUAUUCUCAAUGUUUCAAAGUAUGAUCAUCGAUGAGGAUCAAUUUCUUAAACUACAUGUAUUUCCCCACCAAUGUAUUUUAGUCUCCUAUUCUUUUAGAACUUGCCCAUACGAUGAAAAGCAACAUUAAACCCCAUUUCAAAACCUAUAUCUUAAAUCACAACUCAAAAUCAAACAACCAUAACCCUAAACUCACUCAACAUUGCACAAAAAAUAAAAUCAAUUUACUCGGACAAACCUUUUGAAUGCAAACUCUAGAAAUUACAAUUCUUCUCGUCUUUGUUAAUUCUAACACAAAUCCCACAGGUCUUCUUUUCUUCGUUAAUUCUAACAUACAUUUCUUAAGAAAACUAAACCUUAAUUUCAUUUUAUUUUGAAACCUUAAUAAUGUAAUUAUAAACUAUUUUAUUUUCCAAUUAUAAUACGUGUCUUAAAAAAGUUGGAAAUAUGACACAUCGUUUUUCGUGUAAAAAAGUUAACGUAUUAGUAGUGAAACACUAAAUCCGGGACUUUCUUAAAGAACAGAACUAGAAAUAGAACAAAGUUUAAAAAUGAACAAAAACAGAAAACAAAUGAUAAUUUAGAGAAAAAAAAUAAUUAACCCUCAAUAAAUUAAAUAAUUAAGAAAGAUAAUAAAAAUUAUUAAAUAAAAGACAAUUUUUUUAAAUGAAACAAAAUAAAUAACAAAAAAAAAACUGGGAAAAUGAAUUUUAUACAUUACUUAAUAUAUUAAGAAUGAUUUAGUAAUUUAAGUUAAAAAUAAAGAUAAAUAUAAGUGAAGUAGCUGACCAUCCUCAUAUUAUUCACAUUUAUAUGUUUUCUUUUGUUCGUGUAAAUGAAUUUACUUAUCAUUAUUGUGAAGAGAAAAAAGAGAGAGACACACGCUAAGUUUUGUACCUUAAUUAAGAAGGAAAAAAAUAUAUAAGAGAGUGAGUUAGGUUAGUUCAAUUAUAAAACUUAAUUAGGAUUUAAGAAACGAAAAUAGAAACAGCGUAAUUACAGGGAGAACUAAACGACGGGCUGAACGGGAAAAUCUGAAAAGCAGAGAAGAAGCAAUAAUUUCGGCUUCUUUAGCCAUACCAAACGCUCCCUUAUGGCCCACAAGCGUUUUCACAACACUAUAAAUACCAGCACCCUCUUUUCAUUCCUACAUCACAGAAUAAAAGAGAAAACCUCACUGCACCUUCAACCCUUGUUUCUUCCUUCUCUUUCUUUCUGCACUUUCUGUAGCCAUGGCAUCUCAAGUCAACUUCUUCCUCGUUGCUCUCAUCGCAACACUUUUCUUCGCCGUGGCCACCGCUCAAGAAUUGUCUCCGGCCCCGGCACCGGGACCUGAUGCCGGAGCAGGCGCUUCCGUGUCAAGCUCCAUGGCCGUGAUCGGAGCUUCGAUUGUGGUUUCAGUGUUCGCGAUAUUGAAGCAGUGAGUUUACUGGAACGGUGAUCUGAUUGCGAUUGUGUCUUAUGGAAAGAGAGAAAGAGAUUAUGAUACGAUGUAACGUGAACCAUUCAUUGUAGGUGUCGGUGAGAUGUAACAGGGAUUUUUAAUCCCUUUUAUCUUUCAUCCAUUUUUUUUAUUCAUUAAUUAAUAUAUAUUUUUCUAAUUCUUUAUAAUUAAUCAUUACUUUUCAAAAUUUAUUACUUGGUAAUUAAUUUUAGUUUUAUACUAAUUUUUUUUUUCUAUUAUGUCAUAUUUCCAAACAGUUUAUCUGAACUUCAGUCUUUUAAGAGGGGAAAAUUUGAAAAAUGCGAUCAAUACGGGAAAUUUGUAAAAUGAGUUUAAUUGUUAAAACGUGAAAUUCUAAUAUAUAAAAAUAUAAUUGAUUAGAUGAAAAGAUUGUUUUAAUUUAUUAAAGUUGGGUAAUAGAUUAGUUUUGUUAGUUAAUACAAUUAAAGAAGUGUUUGAUAGUUUUUAAUAAUUGUCUUAUUCAAAAAAAAAAAUACCAUAUAGUUAAUUUUAAGUAUUUAUUAAAGAUUUCAAAUUUAUAUAAAAAAAUACAUUAACUUAUUCAGUAAACACGCGUCCCAAUUAAUAAAAAAUUAAACACAUAUUCAAUUAUAUAUUAUAGUAAUUAUUAAGGGGAUUAAGAUUUAUAGGUAAAUUUAAUGAAAAAAGUAGUAACUUGAUUUAUUCAAUAAAAAAUCAAUCCAAUUUGUUUAUCAGCUCAAAAUUUAACCAAAAGUAAAACUCCUAUAAUCUCGGAAAAGUAAAUCAAUCCAACUGGUUUAUUAGCUCAAAAUCUGACAACUUUCAUUCUUUAACAAAAUUUGAAGAUAAAAAUGAUUAAAAAAUUUGGAAAAAAGACAAUUUAAUUUGUUAUGAAAAUUAAAAUACUGAAAACACAAUUAACUCAAAAUCUUCUCCAAUCUUUGAUAUAUAUAUAUAUAUAUAUAUAUGCAAAAUCAUGAGAGGAGAAUUUUAAUUUCUCAUGAGAAAAUUUUAAUUUCUCGUGAGAUAAGAAUUUGAAUUACUCAUGAGAUAAGAAUUUGAACUUCUCAUUAGAUGACAAUUUGAAUUUCUCAUGAGAUGAGAAUUUGAAUUUGAAAUUCUCAUGAGAUGAGAAUUUGAAUUUCUCACGAGAUGAGAAUUUGAAUUUCUCACGNNNNNNNNNNNNNNNNNNNNNNNNNNNNNNNNNNNNNNNNNNNNNNNNNNNNNNNNNNNNNNNNNNNNNNNNNNNNNNNNNNNNNNNNNNNNNNNNNNNNNNNNNNNNNNNNNNNNNNNNNNNNNNNNNNNNNNNNNNNNNNNNNNNNNNNNNNNNNNNNNNNNNNNNNNNNNNNNNNNNNNNNNNNNNNNNNNNNNNNNNNNNNNNNNNNNNNNNNNNNNNNNNNNNNNNNNNNNNNNNNNNNNNNNNNNNNNNNNNNNNNNNNNNNNNNNNNNNNNNNNNNNNNNNNNNNNNNNNNNNNNNNNNNNNNNNNNNNNNNNNNNNNNNNNNNNNNNNNNNNNNNNNNNNNNNNNNNNNNNNNNNNNNNNNNNNNUGAGAAUUUGAAUUAAUCAUGAAAUGAGAAUUCGAAUUUCUCAUGAGAUGACAAUUUGAAUUUCUCAUGAGAUGACAAUUUGAAUUUCUCAUGAGACGAGAAUUUGAAUUUGAAAUUAUCAGGAGAUGAGAAUUUGAAUUUCUCACGGAUGAGAAUUUGAAUUACUCAAGAGAAUUUGAAUUUCUCGUCAGAUGAGAAUUUGAAUUUCUCAUGAGAUGAGAGUUUGAAUUUCUCAUGAGAUGAGAUUUUGAAUUUCUCAUGAGAUGAGAGAUUGAAUUUCUCAUGAGAUGAGAGUUUGAAUUUUUCAUGAGGUGAGAAUUUGAAUUUCUCAUGAGAUGAGAAUUUGAAUUUGAUUUUGAAUUUGAAUUACUCAUAAGAUGACAAUUUGAAUUUCUCAUGAGAUGAGAAUUUUGAAUUUCUCACCCGACCCCCCACCCCCAACCCCCGACAUACUUUUAUUAACAAAUAUGAUAUAUCCAACCAAUUGUAAAACCUCUUAAAAUAAUGGAGAGAAAAAGCAUAUAUUUAUUAAUAUUAAAAUGGAAAACAAAAGUAAAAGAAAAAUUAAUAAUUUAUAACAAACAUUAUAAUGAUUAUGUGGACCUAUACUUAAAGAUUAUACCUUAUGACAAUAUUGCUUUGUAUGUUUUGAUAUCAUAAUUCACUAUAAAUAAAUGCUUAAGACUUAUAUAUAUAUAUAUAUAUAUAUAUAUAUAUAUAUAUAUAUAUAUAUAUAUAUAUAUGAUAUGUAUAAUUUUAUAUUGUGUUGUUAAGACAAAGUUUAUAUUUACGUUAUGAUUUAGAAGUAUUUUUACAUUUGAGAUGGAAAUGAGUAAUUUUUAAAAAGAUGAGAAAAUGAAAAAAAAAAUUGUUUUCAAAGCAUAACUUUAAAUAAAUAAAUUGUGUUUUGAGAUAUAACUUCAUUUGAAGAAAAAAAUGUAAUUAUUUUCCUUUUUUUUUUUACUUAUUUGAAUAAUGUCAUCCUAUUUUCCCUUUUUCUAAUUGGCAAUAUAUUUUUUUAUGUUACGAGAAUGUUCAUUAUUUUCAAUUUAUUGUCCAAAAUUAUGAGAAUAAGCUUUUAUGAAAUUGCAUGAUUAUUUGGAUCGGGUUUAAAAGGGACUUUUGUGAAUGUGAUCAUGUUUUAUUUUUUGUAAAUUUGUGUUUGUGAUUGGUUCGACCAUGGCUUGAGAAGUUGUCUUCUGAGAAUAAUAUAUUUCACUUUUGACUGAGAAAGCUAUUCUUUGAGAGUGUUUUGUUUUAUCAUAGUUGGAAAUGUUCCCUUACGAGUACGAUAUGUUUCAUUUUUUAUCAUAGAGAUAAUGAUUUUGUGAAAACAAAUUCUAAAAAACCCACAAUCAAAUAGUGAGAGUGAAAAAUUUUCCUUUUUCAUUGUUUCAAACAUGUUUUCCGAUUACAUUAUUUAAUUAGAUUUCUUUUUGACUAUUAUGUCAAAAGUAUGGUUUUUUUAAAGAAUACUUUCGUCCUUUAUUUAAUUAAAUUAAAAUUGCAUAAGUCGAACUGCUGUAUGCCCAUUUAUGUGAUUACUCAACUAUUUAAUUUAAUAAUAUCAUAUCACAUUAAAAGUGCAUAAACUUUAAAUAAUUGUAAAAUGCGUAGAUAAAUUAGGUAAUCUGAGUAAUUGUUUUUCCUCUUUUUCAUUUCUGGUUUGUAUCUCUUACGAGCUGGUUAGAUAAUUUAAUUUAAAUUAAGAUUAAUUUUUUCUCCUUUUUUUUAAAUUUCUUUAUUAUUAAUGAAAUGUUUAAUCUGUCCAUUCUAAAAAUAAUAUGAAAUUUAUUAUAAUCCUAUAAUCAAUAGUGUCUCGAUUUUAUAAAUUUUCACAAUAUAUUAUUAUAAUAUUGAUUAUAAAUUGUACCAUUAUAUAGAUUAAAAUCAUCAAUAUUUAUUUGUUAGCUACUUCAUAAUUAAUUAGGUAGAAAGUAAUCAUAUAUACUUUUAAAAGUUGAGAAACCUAAUUGAAUCUUUUAUUAAUAAAAUGAACCAAAUUAAAUAAAAACAUUAGAAACAACUGAAUAAAAAAAACAAGGAAUAAUAAGAAUAAUGGAAAAUAUUAAUAUAAUAUAAUAAUAGAAACAAUAAUGAAUACAAAAACUCCUCUUAUUUUUCACUAACACCUACAAUAAAUGAUUUACUAUAUAAGAAUAAUCUCUCUUUCUUUCUCUCUUCUCCAUAAGACAUAGAUCAACUCAUCAUAAUCACGAUUAGUGUAAUAAAUACUGUUUACGCCAAAUCCACCAUGGACUCAUCAGAUAAGCAAGAUUCAGUGCUUGAAUAUGGCGAACAUCGAAAGCACAAUCGAAGCUCCAAUCACGGCCACAGAGCUUGAAACAGAUCCGGCAGCUCCGGCAUCGGGUCCUGGAGCCGGCGCCGGAGACAGAUCUUGAGCGGUGGCGACGGCGAAGAAAAGUGUGGCGACGAGAGCCACGAGGAAGGCGUUGACGGAGAAUGCUUGAGAUGCCAUGACUCGAAAAAGCGCAGAGAGAAAGAAAACGAAGAAACAAGAAUUGAAGGUGUUGUGAGGCUUUUGUUUUUAUUCCGCGAUGGAAGAAAGAAGAGAGGGUGGUGGUAUUUAUAGGGUUGUGGGAACGCGUGUGGGUCCCACGACAACGUGGGACAGGUGGAUGAUGAGGAAGAUGUGUGGUGUAAACGAAAGGCAGUGAGUUGUGAGAGAAGGUUUCGUUUGGUUUGAAAAAAAAAAGCCGACAUUGAUGUUUGUUGUGUCCAUUUGAGCUUUUCUCGUUGUUGUGUCGUCAUGUUUGGAAUUCUUGUAACUCAUUAGCUGAAUUGUUAAACAAACUUCAUUAGUUGGAAUCGUCUGGUGCAUGCAUAUUCCAAAGGGUUAUGUAGAAAUUUAUUAAUUUUAGAUAAAUAUAUUAAAGUAGUAUAAUUUUGAUAUGAGUUGUGUUGAAAUUAGAUACUAUUGAAAAAAAAAUGUAUUAGUCCUUUGUUAAUAAAGGAAAGAUGGACUAUAUAUAACUUUUGAAAAUCGGUGAUGUGGAUGUACUUUGAUUAAAUAGUGUAUUUUAAUUAGCAUGGUAAAAUCAAAUUUUAAAAUAAAACAAACAUUAAUUUAAGAAAACUUAAUUAAGAACAUUUUCAUCAGGAGUUCGAAACUAAUUGUGAGUUACAAACUAGAUUUUUCUAAUGUUUUUGUUGAAAUAUGAAACUACGUGGGUUGUUAGAAAAAUAAAAUUUUUCUACAAAAGCUAAUCAUUGUUUGACUUAUAUUAAGUCUAUUAUGAAAUUAGAAAGAGUAACAUGACACAUAUUUAUAUUUAUUUGACAUAUUUAAUAAAGGUAAAAUAGUCUUAAAAAAGUAAUUUUUUUAAAUUUUCAAAAAAAGAGAAAGUAAAAAUAAAGAAAAAUAAUGUCAAAUUAAUUUGAAAAAAAUUAUGUGAGUCAAAAUAUCAUUUCUCAAUUAAAAAGUCGAGAAUUCUUUAAAAAGUGAAUCAGAUAUCCUUAAUGUACAUAAUAUAUAGAGCGAUAAAUAAGAGUGUUAAUGUUAAAACAUAGUUAGAGUAUCACUAGGGCAUAAUUUAAUGUUAAAAAUAGAUGCCUUUUUUUUUUAAAUUAAAUGAACAAUUUUACUAUGAAUGUUAGGGGACUGAUGUGUAAUUCUUUCUAAAUAUUUAGAAAAACUAAGUGAAAAAGAAUGUUUUUGAAGAGUUUAAUAUCGGAUGCUAAGGAGUCGACGUUAUAUCUCUUUUAGAUAUCUGUCUACAGGGGGUCAACGUCUAAUUGUUUUUAUAACAUUUAAUAAAAUUAGCUAGAAGACAAUGUUUCUUGAAGAGUUUGAUGUCAAAGGCCUAGAGAGUGACAUCAUAUUCCUUUAGACGUCACAUAUUCGUGUGAUCAAUGUCUAAUAGUGUUUAAAAUAAUAAAAAAACCUAAAUCAGAAUGACCUUUCUUCUACCCUUUCGACAUCGGAUACAUAAAGGUUGACAUCAUAUCCAUUUAGACAUUGGAUUAUGUGGGUGGCUGACGUCAUAUGAUGUUUGAAACAUUAAAACAUCUAAUGCAAAAAGCCAUUUUCCUACACCCUUUAAACGUCGAUCCUCGUACGAUCCGACAUCUAAUGAGAUACGACGUUGGCUCCCAGAGAAACUGACAUCAUAUGUUGUUUAAAAAAUUAGUAAAAAAAAAUAGCGCAAAAGUAUUUCCCUUUUAUUGUUCCUUUGUAUUCUCACUUAUUAGGCCUCCCAACGACUUGGGCGACUACCACCAAAGAUAACUUUUCAACCAUUUAACACAAAUGCAUGUUUUGUGGCUGCUUUGGGUAUAAUUUUAUAAUGUUUUCACCAAUUAUUUGUGUACAGUUUGUGUGUUUUGAACAUUUAAGCACGACGCGAAUUCUCUUUUCUCCCUCAUAGACAAUGACUUCUCUACACCAACAAUGACACCACCCUUCAACUUCAUUCAAGCUUUUUGGUUGGAUACACGAUUGGUUUUUUGUUUUCAAUAUACAUUGCAUGCAAUUUGUCUUUUAAUUGGAUAUUAGAUGUGAUUUUGGUUUUUUCCGAAUACUUAGUCAAAUUUUAAGAUGCAAUGGUUUUCAUAUACUUAGCCAAUUUUUUUAGGUAUUUGAUAAACUUAUUUUUUUAGUUCCUAUUGCACUCUGUCUCUUAUUCCUUAGUUGUGUGUGGCAUGGGUUAGUUUUUCUUCACCAUAAUUGUUUUUAUCUUAAACAAAUUUUUAGUUGGUUUUUUUGCAUUUUAUUUCUAAUUAAAUUUUUAAAAUAUUUGUAGUGUGAAAUUUAGAUUUAUUAUUAGUUUAAAUAAUUUUAGUUUUAUUAAGAUUUAUUAUAAUUUUAGUUUUAUUAAUAUUUAAUAUAAUUUUAGUUAAACACUGAGUGAACCUUAAAUCUCAAAUGUUUUGAUCUGACAAUUUAGAAAAAUUAUUUUUCAUAAUUUACUAUAACGUGUACAUUGAAGUUUAUGCAUAAAUUUGAUGAAAUUUCGGUAAAAAUCAUUUUGUAUUCUUCUUCAAAUGCAUACUUGGUUGUGACCAUGAGUGAUCACUUUCUAUUCGUGUACUUUAGAGACCAAUGCGAAAUGUUGCAUAAAUUUUAUCAAAUUUAUGAUUUUAGACUUCUUCUUAUACAUGUUAAGAAAUUAUGAAAAAUAUUUAUUCUAAAUGGAUAUGGCCUCACCUUGUGAGAGUUAAAAAAAAUGAGACUAAUGAAGUUUGUUGCAAGUAUAAUAUGAUUUAAAGCUGGAUAAAUGAACGCCGUAUCAAUGAAAAGUAUGAAAAAGAGGUUUCUGAGUUCUUACAAUAUGUUCAACAACACACAAUCUUUUUGAACGAGACAUUUUUUUGUCAUUGUGUUUAUUGUCUUAAUAAAUUACGUCAAGACUUAGGCAAUAUAUGUGAUCAUUUAUUCAUCUUCGUUAUAGUGAGGAGUUAUACAAUUUAGAUUUGGCAUGAAAAAGUAUUACACAAGCCUACAACGUCACUGGGAACAAAUUAAGUAAACGAAUGGAUGAGUGAUCAGUUAGAGAACAUGGUACAUGAUGUUGAUGAAGAAAAUUUUGGAAGAACUCAUUUAUAUGAUUUUGUUAAGUUCAAUUCAGAGGAAAAAUUGUAUCUAGGAUGCUCUAACUUUACAUGAUUGUUAGCAACUUUAAAAUGUUUAGUUUAAAAAAGAGGAAUAGAUAGAUUGAUAAAAAGUUUCACAAAAUUGUUGGAUUUGCUGAAGGAGAUGCUUCCAAAAAAUAACAUGUUACAUAUUCGUAAUUACAAGGCGAAUGAAAUUCUAUGUCCAAUGAGUUUGGAAUACUAAAAGAUAAAUACAUGCCCCAAUGAUUGUGUAUUGCAUAGAGACGAGUUUGUUUCAGUGAAGGCGUGUCCAACAUGUGGUUUAUCGCAAUUUAAAAAGAAAGUUGAUGGAAAUAGUAGUGAUGAAGACAAAAAUGGCCGACCUACUAAGGUGGUGUGAUACUUGCCUAUACUACAUAGGUUGAAAUGAUUCUUUUCCAUUAAAGAAGAUGUGAAGAACCUGAAAUAGCACGUUGAUAGAAAAAUGUGUGAUAAUAUUCUUUGAUACUUAGCUGAUUUCCCAUAAUGAAAGAAGAUUGAUGAAACAUUUCUAAAAUUUGGUACAAAGUCAAGAAAAUUAAGACUCACACUUGGUAGUACGGAUAGUAUGAAUCCUUAUGGCAAAUUAAGUAUCAAAGAUAGUUCAUGGCUAAUUUUUUAUGAUUUACAAUCAUUCUUCUUUGUUGUGCUUGAAAAAAAAAAUGUAUGAUGUUUUCUAUGAUGAUAUGGAAUCUGACAAUCUAAAAAUGAUAUUGAUAUGUAUAUGAAGUUGUUGAUCAAUAAUUUGAAAAUAAUGUGAAAAGAAAGCAUUAAUGUGUUCAAUUCAUAUUCUUAAGAAAUUUUUCAUUUCCAUACAAUAUUGUUUUGCACCAUAAACGAUGAAACUUAUUUAUGAGUACAUGGUAAUUUAUUUAUGAAUUUAAAAAAUAUAUUUUGAAUUACACGAAUUUAUUAAAAAAAUAGGUACAUGAUCAUUUUUAACUUUUUUUUUUAGUAUAAUUUUAAAGAGGAAUCAUUUUAAGUUUAUGAAUUUUUACGAGGGUGAAAAAAAUACAAAAGAAGAAACAACCUAGUUAUCGUACGGGUUUUUGAAAAAAAGGAAGAAAACAAAAUAGAGAAUAUAAAUAAAAAGUAAAUAAGGGGUUGGCAAGGUGUGUAUACCGCGUAGCAGACCUGUCCAAACAUAAAAAAAAAUGGAGAAAAGUUGAUAUAUAAAAUGGAGCACAGCAGAGACAACUGAAACAAAUUUUAAUCAACUAAUAAUUAAAAAUACAAAAAUCGAUCUCAGAAAAACUUGCAAACCCAGUCUUAAUUAUGUCCCUAUAAAAAAAAUGGUUUGUUGUACACUUACAUAAAAUUUGAAAUUAUUAUUUUUGUCCAGAUAAUACAGAAGUGUAAAAUUUUAUUUAUUUUUCUAUGAUACGUAUUUAUAUUUUAAAAAUAAAACUAUUAUUUUAUGAUAAAUUAAUAAAAUAUAUUUUGUGAAGGUGCUUUUUAAAAAAUGUAACACGCUGAUAAUUGUGUACUAGAGCAAUUACAACACUACAGUAGGAUGAACCGGUUUCUAUUUUGUGGUGGGCUAAGCUUUUAUAAUAAAUAGGAAAAUGUUUAAUAUCUAUAUACUUAUAAAAUGUAAACAAAUUUAAAUAACAUUAAAAUUUUCAAAAUAUUAAAUAUAAAUUUUAAUAAGAGACUGAAUAACUUCAUUAAAAAACGUUUAAAUUUACAAAUAUGAAUUAUCAGUAAUUUUUAGAUUAUUUCUAUCUUUAAAAAUAUAUUGAUUUUAUCUAUUAAAAAUUUCUUAAUACACUAUAAAAUAUCAAAAUCAGUAAAUAACAGAAUAAAAAGUAGAGAGAAUAGAAAAACAACGUAAUGGAGUACAUUUAUAUUAAUAAUAAUAAUACAUGGUGAAAUUGAAAAAAAAAAUAAAAAUCUCUCUUAUUUCUCACUAACACCUACAAUAAAUGGUUUAAUAUAUAACAAUAAUCUCUUCCUCUUCUCUCUUUCUUUGCAUAAGACAUAGAUCAACUCAUUAUAAUCAUCAUAAUAAAUAUUGUUCACACAAAAUCCACAACAAAACUAAUAUACGGAAUAAACUCAUCAGAUAAGCGAGAUUCAGUGCUUGAACAUGGCAAACAUCGAAAGCACAAUCGAAGCUCCGAUCACGGCCACAGAGCUAGAAACAGAUCCGGCUGCUCCGGCAUCAGGUCCUGGUGCGGGGGCCGGAGACAGAUCUUGAGCGGUGGCGACGGCGAAGAAAAGUGCCGCAACGAGAGCCAAGAGGAAGGCGUUGACGGAGAAUGCUUGAGAUGCCAUGACUCGAAAAAGCGUAGAGAGAAAGAGAACGAAGAAACAGGCGUUGAAGGUGCUGUGAGCUUUAGGUUUAUUUUGCAAUGAAUGAGGGAAGAGAGGGUGGUGGUAUUUAUAGUGUUGGGAAAUGCGUGUGGGCCCCAGGAAAACGUGGACAGGUGUGUGGUGAAGACGAUGUGCGGUGUGAAUGAACGGUAGAGAGUUGGUGAGAGAGACUGUUCUUUACGUUUCAUUGCUUUUUCGGUCUGAAAGAUUCACGUUGAAUCCGUUCCGUUAUAAAUGUGACGUAAAAUAAAUCAAUGAUAGGAAACGACUAGUUGAAAAACGGUUCCCUUAAACGUAGGGAUUUGUUUGUUUACCUAAGGAAACUUCUCGACGGUGUAAUGAAGAG
RNAcentral lists this long non-coding RNA (20481 nucleotides) under Vigna radiata. RNAcentral describes it as "long non-coding RNA (VRAD_LNC003960)". The record is from RNAcentral. Lineage: Eukaryota; Viridiplantae; Streptophyta; Magnoliopsida; Fabales; Fabaceae.